RNAcentral lists this transfer RNA (77 nucleotides) under Candidatus Omnitrophota bacterium. RNAcentral describes it as "Candidatus Omnitrophica bacterium tRNA-Glu". It matches the Rfam family "tRNA". From Rfam's summary of the family: Transfer RNA (tRNA) molecules are approximately 80 nucleotides in length. Their secondary structure includes four short double-helical elements and three loops (D, anti-codon, and T loops). The record is from RNAcentral. Lineage: Bacteria; Pseudomonadati; Candidatus Omnitrophota.
GGCCCCAUCGUCUAGUCUGGUCAGGACGCUAGAUUCUCAUUCUAGUAACAGGGGUUCGAAUCCCCUUGGGGCUACCA